This 253-nucleotide ribosomal RNA is filed under the name uncultured bacterium. Its description in RNAcentral is "partial 16S ribosomal RNA". It matches the Rfam family "Bacterial small subunit ribosomal RNA", at positions 524 to 776 of the family's 1533-position model. The record is from RNAcentral.
UACGUAGGGGACGAGCGUUGUCCGGAAUCAUUGGGCGUAAAGCGCGCGUAGGCGGGUUUCCAAGUCGGUUGUGAAAUCCCUCAGCUCAACUGAGGAACUGCAUCCGAUACUGUUUGUCUUGAGGACGGGAGGGGAGAGUGGAACUUCUGGUGAAGCGGUGAAAUGCGUAGAUAUCAGAAGGAACGCCGGUGGCGAAAGCGACUCUCUGGCCCGUAUCUGACGCUGAGGCGCGAAAGCUUGGGUAGCAAACGGG